UGGGGAAUCUUGCACAAUGGGGGAAACCCUGAUGCAGCGACGCCGCGUGAACGAUGAAGCCCUUCGGGGUGUAAAGUUCUUUCGACAGGAACGAUAAUGACGGUACCUGGAGAGGAAGCUGCGGCUAACUACGUGCCAGCAGCCGCGGUAAUACGUAGGCAGCGAGCGUUGUUCGGAGUUACUGGGCGUAAAGAGUGCGUAGGCGGCGAGCCAAGUUUGGUGUGAAAUCUCCCGGCUUAACCGGGAGGGUGCGCCGAAAACUGGUUGGCUGGAGUAUGGGAGAGGAAAGCGGAAUUCCUGGUGUAGCGGUGAAAUGCGUAGAUAUCAGGAGGAACACCUGCGGUGUAGACAGCUUUCUGGACCAAAACUGACGCUGAGGCACGAAAGCGUGGGUAGCAAACA
This 402-nucleotide ribosomal RNA is filed under the name uncultured bacterium. RNAcentral's name for it is "bacterial SSU rRNA". It matches the Rfam family "Bacterial small subunit ribosomal RNA", at positions 355 to 774 of the family's 1533-position model. The record is from RNAcentral.